Molecule: ribosomal RNA, 253 nt
Filed under: uncultured bacterium
Lineage: Bacteria
Description: partial 16S ribosomal RNA
Rfam family: Bacterial small subunit ribosomal RNA
Source: RNAcentral
UACGGAGGGUGCAGGCGUUAAUCGGAAUUACUGGGCGUAAAGGGUUCGUAGGUGGUUAAUUAAGUUAUCUGUGAAAUCCCCGGGCUCAACCUGGGCAGGUCAGAUAAUACUGGUUAACUCGAGUAUGGGAGAGGGUAGUGGAAUUUCCGGUGUAGCGGUGAAAUGCGUAGAGAUCGGAAGGAACACCAGUGGCGAAGGCGGCUACCUGGCCUAAUACUGACACUGAGGAACGAAAGCGUGGGGAGCAAACAGG